RNAcentral lists this ribosomal RNA (459 nucleotides) under uncultured Pelotomaculum sp. RNAcentral describes it as "bacterial SSU rRNA". It matches the Rfam family "Bacterial small subunit ribosomal RNA", at positions 924 to 1382 of the family's 1533-position model. Lineage: Bacteria; Bacillati; Bacillota; Clostridia; Eubacteriales; Desulfotomaculaceae. The record is from RNAcentral.
CACAAGCGGUGGAGCAUGUGGUUAAUUCGACGCAACGCGAAGAACCUUACCAGGGCUUGACAUCCCCUGACCGCGUAUGAAAGUACGUUUUCACCCUCGGGUGACAGGGAGACAGGUGGUGCAUGGUUGUCGUCAGCUCGUGUCGUGAGAUGUUGGGUUAAGUCCCGCAACGAGCGCAACCCCUACGUUUAGUUGCUAACAGGUGAAGCUGAGCACUCUAGACGAACUGCCGUUGACAAAACGGAGGAAGGUGGGAUGACGUCAAAUCAUCAUGCCCCUUAUGUUCUGGGCUACACACGUGCUACAAUGGCCGGUACAGACGGAGGCGAAGCCGCGAGGCGGAGCAAAUCCGAAAAAGCCGGUCUCAGUUCGGAUUGCAGGCUGCAAUUCGCCUGCAUGAAGUCGGAAUCGCUAGUAAUCGCAGGUCAGCAUACUGCGGUGAAUACGUUCCCGGGCCUU